GCUUAACUGUGAGCGUGCGGGCGAUACGGGCAGACUUGAGUACUGCAGGGGAGACUGGAAUUCCUGGUGUAGCGGUGGAAUGCGCAGAUAUCAGGAGGAACACCGGUGGCGAAGGCGGGUCUCUGGGCAGUAACUGACGCUGAGGAGCGAAAGCGUGGGGAGCGAACAGGAUUAGAUACCCUGGUAGUCCACGCCGUAAACGGUGGGUACUAGGUGUGGGUUUCCUUCCUUGGGAUCCGUGCCGUAGCUAACGCAUUAAGUACCCCGCCUGGGGAGUACGGCCGCAAGGCUAAAACUCAAAGAAAUUGACGGGGGCCCGCACAAGCGGCGGAGCAUGUGGAUUAAUUCGAUGCAACGCGAAGAACCUUACCUGGGUUUGACAUGCACAGGACGCCGGCAGAGAUGUCGGUUCCCUUGUGGCCUGUGUGCAGGUGGUGCAUGGCUGUCGUCAGCUCGUGUCGUGAGAUGUUGGGUUAAGUCCCGCAACGAGCGCAACCCUUGUCUCAUGUUGCCAGCGGGUAAUGCCGGGGACUCGUGAGAGACUGCCGGGGUCAACUCGGAGGAAGGUGGGGAUGACGUCAAGUCAUCAUGCCCCUUAUGUCCAGGGCUUCACACAUGCUACAAUGGCCGGUACAAAGGGCUGCGAUGCCGCGAGGUUAAGCGAAUCCUUUUAAAGCCGGUCUCAGUUCGGAUCGGGGUCUG
This 702-nucleotide ribosomal RNA is filed under the name uncultured bacterium. Its description in RNAcentral is "bacterial SSU rRNA". It matches the Rfam family "Bacterial small subunit ribosomal RNA", at positions 607 to 1307 of the family's 1533-position model. The record is from RNAcentral.